Molecule: long non-coding RNA, 791 nt
Organism: Panicum virgatum (switchgrass)
Lineage: Eukaryota; Viridiplantae; Streptophyta; Magnoliopsida; Poales; Poaceae
Exons: 3
Source: RefSeq, a predicted model, not a curated record
CAGCUUUUUUUACCGCCUGGACGCCUAGGCGACGCCUUGAAAACAAUGGUUGUAAGUGCUGAUGAGCAAGUACAUGACCAAACCUUGCACUCUAGUCUAUCUGCUGUUGCUCGUUUAUUGGCUAUUAAAUCUCAAUACAAUCUCUCAGUGGCAUGCUAUGAUGAUUUUGUGGAUCUUCUGCAUGAACUCCUCCCUCCCAAUUCUAGGUUUCCUAAGAAUUUUUCCAUUCCAAACAAUUAUUUGAGCACACUGGUAGAUGCAGCUGAAUUUCUACUUACUUUCAAGCUUAAGUGUGUUUCCUUUUCUGUUUUUAGCUUGCGACUACUAACUUUUGUUAUUUCAAGGAUGACUACAAUGCAGCACUCCAGGAGAAGUAUCCAGAUAAUUGGCAAGAGAAACCUUUUGAUGGGCAGAUAGCAUAUAACGUUGAUGGUGGCUUGUCCCAUGGUCGUCUUGCAAUAGGAGAUGGUGCUGUCAAGAAGGGUCCAAUUAUUGAUUCUGCUAAGGCAAGUGAGAUAAGGCCAUCAACCUCAAGGUCUUACCAAAAUCUCUUCAGAAGGUAUGAGGAGGAAGUUCAGAACAACCGUCGCUUAACUCAACAAAAUGCAGUCUUGACUCGACAUGUGAAGCGGACGGAUUGUCUACUCGAGUUCAUUGCUAAAAAAGCCAACAUAGUUAUACCGCCUGACAUGCUUGUGGAGGAACAAAAUGACAUGAGAGAGACUGGAGAUGGAUCCUCCCAUGCUCCAGCCUACUUGGACAACAAUAGUGACGGUCACUGAGUAGCCUUC